Pezoporus flaviventris is the source of this 482-nucleotide long non-coding RNA. RefSeq lists it as uncharacterized. NCBI's taxonomy places the organism in Eukaryota, Metazoa, Chordata, Aves, Psittaciformes, Psittacidae. The record is from RefSeq and is a predicted model, not a curated record. The transcript has 3 exons.
ACCAACCUAUCUGCUCGCUUCCUUCUUCCACCCCCCCACCUUCUCUAACCGCCUUUAAAUAGGACGGUUCCCGGCCACCCCGGCUCCCCCCGCCGCCCCCGGGGGUCAGAGAAGACUUUUAGGAAGAGCCGCGGCUCCAUGCGAUCUCCCUCUCCCUCCCUCGCUCGCUCGCUCCCUCGCUCGCUCUCUCUCACACACACACUGUACAGCUACGGCAGCGGCGGCGGCGGCGGUGGCGGCGGCAGCGGGAUUCACUUCUCUUCUCUCUCAGACAAAAAGAUCUGAGGCCGCCGUGCUUCUGCCUGGACGAGAGCGCAACACAGCGGACCCCGGAGGCCGCUCCCGGGAAGCCCGGGAGAAGACCUGCACGACAACCAUGAGGGAGACCAGUGCUGCUUGGGGUAAACAGGAGAAAGGCCCGAGCAGUGAAUGGCAACUUCUGGUGAACCUUUGCUCCUCAGGCAAAGCUCAUGGUGACCCAG